CCUACGGGGGGCUGCAGUCGAGAAUCUUCCACAAUGGCCGAAAGGCUGAUGGAGCGACGCCGCGUGCAGGAUGAAGGUCUUCGGAUUGUAAACUGCUUUUGUAAGGGACGAAUUAGUGACGGUACCUUACGAAUAAGAGGUUGCAAACUCUGUGCCAGCAGCAGCGGUAAUACAGAGACCUCAAGCGUUAUCCGGAUUUAUUGGGCGUAAAGCGUCUGCAGGUGGUUUGGUAAGUUGGGGGUCAAAACCUCGCGCUCAACGCGAGAUCUGCCUCCAAAACUACCUUACUAGAGUAUGGGAGAGGUAAGCGGAAUUGCUGGUGUAGUCGUAAUAAGCGUUGAUAUCAGCAAGAACACCAAAUGCGAAGGCAGCUUACUAGAACAUUACUGACACUCAGAGACGAAAGCGUGGGGAGCAAACAGGAUUAGAUACCCCAGUAGUC
Molecule: ribosomal RNA, 442 nt
Filed under: uncultured bacterium
Lineage: Bacteria
Description: bacterial SSU rRNA
Rfam family: Bacterial small subunit ribosomal RNA
Source: RNAcentral